UACAGAGGGGGCAAGCGUUGUUCGGAAUUACUGGGCGUAAAGGGCGCGUAGGCGGCCUGUUAAGUCGAACGUGAAAUCCCCGGGCUCAACCCGGGAACUACGUCCGAUACUGGCAGGCUUGAAUUCGGGAGAGGGAUGUGGAAUUCCAGGUGUAGCGGUGAAAUGCGUAGAUAUCAGGAGGAACACCGGUGGCGAAGGCGGAUCUCUGGGCCGUAACUGACGCUGAGGAGCGAAAGCAUGGGGAGCGAACAGG
This 253-nucleotide ribosomal RNA is filed under the name uncultured bacterium. Its description in RNAcentral is "partial 16S ribosomal RNA". It matches the Rfam family "Bacterial small subunit ribosomal RNA", at positions 524 to 776 of the family's 1533-position model. The record is from RNAcentral.